ACAGGGGCCAACCAGAUACCCCAAGGGGAAGCCCCAAACCAGGAGCCCAGCUCAAGAGCAACCUCUCCUCAUGUGGUUUCCAGCAACUGGUAUUCAGAAGCAUUGCUGCCUCUGACUGUGGAGGCAGAGCAUGGUCAUCAUUGCUGGUAGCCAAUGAAUUGGUCCAGCCCUCUUUAAAAGCCAUCCAGGUUGGUAGCCAUCUCUCUUUCCUGUGGGAGUGAGUUCCAUAGUUUAACUAUGUGCUGCAUGAAGGACUUUAUUCUCUCUGCUCUGAAUAUUCCAACAUUCAGCUUUCUUGGGCACCCACAAGUUCUGAGAGAGGGAGGAAAAUAUUUAUUCUGUCCCACUUUCGCCAUGCUGUGCAACAUUUUAUAAACUUCCAUGAUGUCACCUCUUUCUUGCUUUGUCUCUAAACUAAAAAGUCCCGAAUGUUGCAACUUUUCUUCCUAAGAGAUCAUCCCCCUGAUCAAGACAAAUUCCACCUGCCAAAGUAAAGGAGUAAAAGAAAAGAUCAGGUCAAGACCACUGAGAAUUCCUAGAAGUGAAUAUGGCAGGAGGGUAGGAAAACAGAGAUCCAGGAACACCAGUCUUACAACAUCCCCAUUCCUCAUCUUUGCUCCAAACUUCUCCAUCUCCAGAGCGCAGCCCAGUUUGAAAAACAGAGUUUUGCAUCCAUUUCAUCAUAAAGGAUUGUGCGACCUUUUAAGGCCCGGAUUUAUAAACCGCGGCGAAAGGCCUCGUGACGGGCAAGGGUCUGCUUCUGAAAUUGAACAAAUUGUCGUUUUAUGGCUCCUGCGUGCUGAGGGCGCCAUAAAUCGUGCUGCAUUUAAAGCAUCUGCUCUUUCCCAGCCGCACUCCCGGCUCCUUGAGAAGGAGGAGGAGAAAUGUCUGACAUUUCCUGACGUUGGCUAUAACGGGGGCCUCUGGGGAGCCCCUCGGAAAAGUUUUAAAAGCAGUAUUUAUGGAUGAUCACCAUGAAUCAGGGCCCUAAAAGGUAAGGCACAGCCUGUUCUUCAUUAAAGGUUUGGAAAUUCUGCACUGAGAUUUUCCCUGCGGGAAGACAAAAGAAAUUGAGUGAAAGAGAAAUGACUUUAGAGUUAAGCCAGAUCUAACCCCCUCCUCCUUUCAUUCUUUUUCUUUUUCUUUCAGCUUUUUUCCUUUCUCCUUUUCACCCCCCCCCAUUAUUAUUUUUCUUUGUACUUGUUCAUUGUCUAUUUUUCUAUUCCUUUUUCCCCCUUCCCUGUUAUUUGAUCAUUGAAGUAUGUUGCACCUGACUGUGGAGGCUCCAUUUCCCAAUGGAUUUGUCUAGCCCCUGCCCCUUUUUGAAAUCUGAAAAGACACCCCUCAGCACACACAGAGGCAUUCGCUGUGGCAAUUCGAACUUCUAUUAUGGAGUCCGCUCCUGUCAGAGUCAGGCCAAUCUAGCUGCGAGGCUCUCCUGAAAGCCGUGGCGUAUGAACUUUGUGUUUGGGUUGCCUUUCAGUGGCUGAGUCCUUUUUAAUUACCUUUUUAAUGUUUGAAUCAUUUGGGGGGAUUGAUGUUGUGUUGAAGCUUCCAGGGAACGACGAAUCUCAGUUGAGAGUCUUCUGCUGGUUCAGUUAUAUGGGAAUAUUUUACAUCCUAAAAUAAGAGGCUGGAUGUUGAUCUUCAACUUUCAACAAUGAGGAAUUCCUCAUUUCUAAGUUGGUUUUGAUGAACUAAAGAAACAAUAUAAUUUGGAGAUUUUGUCACCAACAUCUCUACUAUUCAUUCAUUCCAGAUUCAGGUUCACCAGGGGUGGGGAUUGUAUUUUGGUAUAUCUGGUGUUUUUAUCAUCACCAUCAUUAAUUAAUUUAUUAAAUUUAUAUACUGCUCUUCAUCAAAAGAUCUCAGGGCAGUUCAUAAGUUUUUUGGCUGCAAGAUGUUUUAUUUCAUAUGUGGCUUUUUAUUGAAAUUAUAUGAGUCUCUCUCACGCACACUUUAACCUUUUAUUAUUGUAUUGCAGUGAUGUAUGGAAGCAUCGUUUUCCCAUUCUGUCCUGUGUUUGUCACAAGCAGCCCUGCUUCUUUUGCUCCAAAGUUAUAUCUCCCACCCAAAAGGACGUUCCUCGUCUCGCUGUCGCAAAAUUGCAUAGCUUAUGCAUACCAUACUUUUCCAUCUGUAAGACUAUUUGGAGACUCAGAUUUAAGAAAUGGGGGGAGAUGGCACAGAGUUGUUGAGUUUUUUUAGGGGGGAUUGCCAGAAAUCACUCAUCUCCUGUCUGUCCCAUUGCCGGCAGAAGCUGCCAAUCGCCCCCCAAACUGCCAGAGCGUCAGCCAAUCAACACCAAACCAUUGAUGCAGCAAUCAAUAAUACACACAAUACCUUAUGCACUACCCAUAUAUAAGACGACCCCCACUUUUUUGCAUGAUUUUUAAAUUAAAAAACAUAGUCUUAUACAUGGGAAAGUAUGGUAAUUAAUUUCAUAAGUUCCAAUGCCAUCAUUUUCAGAAUGAAAGCAACAGCGACAGCAGCAAUUUUUUUAAUUUAUAUUUUAUAGAAAUUUUUCCGUGGACAAAUAAAGUGAAAGAAAUGGGGGGGGGGUGGACACACCCCAAAAGGUACGUGAAACUUUAACAGAAUACAAUACAUAGGUAUAUACCGUAUUCUUCGCUCUAUAAGACGCACCAGACCACAAGAUGCACCUAGUUUUUGGAGGAGGAAAACAAGAAAAAAAAAUAUUCUGAAUCUCAGAAGCCAGAACAGCAAGAGGGACCACUGCGCAGUGAAAGCAGCAAUCCCUCUUGCUGUUCUGGCUUCUGGGAUAGCUGCGCAGACUGCAUUCGCUCCAUAAGACACACACACAUUUCCCCUUACUUUUUAGGAGGGAAAAAGUAAGUCUUAUACAGCAAAAAAUAUGGUAAAUAAUUGUAUACUCAUUGGGCAGCAGUGAAUAUCGAUCAUAUUCACUGGAUUUAUUUCUGUUCCUGACAUGGGAUAAAUAAGCAGAGGUGGGCAAUUUCUGCUCCUGUUCCUCUUUUCAUCCGAAUUCUCCGACAAUUCUGUGAUAUUGUAACACCACAGAUUUCUUUAUAUCGUUUUAAGGUCCCAUUGGCUUUGCCUGGGGCUUGUUUGUUUGUUUGUUUGCUGUUGUCUUUAGAACUGCCUUUACACAUAGUAACCUCCUCCCCAAAAGUGCUAGAAUUAGCAGGUUGGCUGUCAUAAGUUUUUGGACUGUGUUUCAGUUCUAGCAAUGUUACACCCCCACUCCACCUCCCCGGCCUUUCCCCUUCUUUCCCUUUCAAAGUUUCCCUUGGAAUGUGCAACGAAACCUGCCUCAAAAUAACACUGGGCUGCUGCCCAGCUGGGGGCGUUGUAACUUGGAGCAGAGCUCUCUGUGUGUGCUGCUUUAAUUCAUAGAUAAGAGCAAGAGAAAGAACCCAGCUGGAUCGAGGCAAAGGAGGCCAUCUAGUCCAGCAUCUUGUUCUCACAGUGGCCAAGGAGAUGCCCCAAAGGGAAACCCAGAGAGCAAGAGCCCUCUCCCCUCCUGAGGUUUCCGAUAACUGAGAUUCAGAAGCUUCCUCCAGGCAGAAUGUGACAUAACCAUCAUGGCUAGUAGCCAUUGAAAGCCUUAGCCUUUGUCCAACCAUCUUUUAAAGCCAUCCAAGCUUUGUGCAUAUUCCACCAGGAAUAAAUGAAACAAGAAGCCAUUCUAUUGUUAUCCUCCAUAAACUCCCGUUAUAGGUGGUAGCCAUCACUGGCAGGAAAGGCCACAGUUUAACUGUGUUAAAAAGGCUUCCUUUGGCCUCCUUCAUUGGAUGAGCCCGGG
This 3787-nucleotide long non-coding RNA is filed under the name Podarcis lilfordi (Lilford's wall lizard). The record is from RNAcentral. Lineage: Eukaryota; Metazoa; Chordata; Lepidosauria; Squamata; Lacertidae.